GAUGAGGUAGCUCAGUGGUAGAGUCCCCGCUUCGCACGCGGGUGAGACCUGGGUUCGAUUCCCGGCUGCUUCC
Molecule: transfer RNA, 73 nt
Organism: Toxocara canis (dog roundworm)
Lineage: Eukaryota; Metazoa; Nematoda; Chromadorea; Rhabditida; Toxocaridae
Rfam family: tRNA
About the family: Transfer RNA (tRNA) molecules are approximately 80 nucleotides in length. Their secondary structure includes four short double-helical elements and three loops (D, anti-codon, and T loops). Further hydrogen bonds mediate the characteristic L-shaped molecular structure. tRNAs have two regions of fundamental functional importance: the anti-codon, which is responsible for specific mRNA codon recognition, and the 3' end, to which the tRNAs corresponding amino acid is attached (by aminoacyl-tRNA synthetases). tRNAs cope with the degeneracy of the genetic code in two manners: having more than one tRNA (with a specific anti-codon) for a particular amino acid; and 'wobble' base-pairing, i.e. permitting non-standard base-pairing at the 3rd anti-codon position.
Source: Rfam